This is a long non-coding RNA of Bactrocera tryoni, 643 nucleotides long. RefSeq lists it as uncharacterized. The transcript has 3 exons. NCBI's taxonomy places the organism in Eukaryota, Metazoa, Arthropoda, Insecta, Diptera, Tephritidae. The record is from RefSeq and is a predicted model, not a curated record.
GUAGCAACAGGUUGCAAGAGUAUAAAAAGAGAUAUGACCGAAAAAACAAAAUGGUCGAAAGAUGGAAUCAAUGGAAUGUAUUAUAUUACGUGAAAUCUUCGAUGUACCUGAAUCGAAAUGAUAAAGCUCAGGCUUUCAAUAAAAUAUGCCAAGUUUUUAGUUAUAAAAGAAAUGGAAAACCUUGAAGUCCCAAUAUUUAAGAGGGCGCACUUUUAAAAAGCUGGAUCUGGCUUGAAUGAAAUUUUUACUUCAAAAUUAUGUUGUUUCGCAAUAUUUAAGAGGAAUUCACGAGUUGUGCACUUUUAAAAAAGCGGAUCUGGCUUGAAUGACAUUUUUACUUCAAAACUAUGGUGUUUCUUCCAUUUAAAACUUCUGAUGUCACACAAUCAAGUAAGGAGCGGAGAAUCAAAUUACGAGGAUCGUGAUUCGUUGAAUUUUAUUCCGGAAUUCGAUUCAGUAUUAAGUCAAUCAAAUGAAACAACAAGUAUCCAAACGACUUCAGCAUAAGUUUUUUAUAUAGUAAGGGCCGAAUUCACAGUGAUUAGUUAACCAAUACCAACGGCUUAACCCACUGCUUUUCAUUAACAAUGCUUAGUUAGCUAUUAGUUAAACCCCCAAUCUCUGCUGUCUAACUACUGGUCAA